Molecule: long non-coding RNA, 1387 nt
Filed under: Homo sapiens (human)
Lineage: Eukaryota; Metazoa; Chordata; Mammalia; Primates; Hominidae
Description: HSALNT0040539
Source: RNAcentral
CGACCACCCAAGGGCUGAGGAGUGCGGGCGCAAGGCACCGGGACUUGCAGGCGGCUCCACCUGCAGCCCCGGUGCGGGAUCCACUGGGUGAAGCCAGCUGGGCUCCUGAGUCUGGUGGGGAUGUGGAGAACCUUUGUGUCUAGCUCAGGGAUUGUAAACGCACCAAUCAGCGCCCUGUCAAAACAGACCACUCGGCUCUACCAAUCAGCAGGAUGUGGAUGGGGCCAGAUAUAAAAGCAGGCUGCCCGAGCUAGCAGUGGCAACCGGCUCGGGUCUCCUUACGCACUGUGGAAGCUUUGUUCCUUCGCUCUUUGCAAUAAAUCUUGCUACUGCUCACACUUUGGGUCCACACUGCCUUUAUGAGCUGUAACACUCACCGGGAAGGCCUGCAGCUUCACUCCUGAGCCAGCGAGACCACGAGCCCACCAGGAGGAACGAACAACUCCAGAGGCGCCGCCUUAAGAGCUGUAACCCGGCAAAGGUCUGCAGCUUCACUCCUGAGCCAGGGAGACCACGAACCCACCAGAAGGAAGAAACUCCAAACACAUCCGAACAUCAGAAGGAACAAACUCCAGACGCGCCACCUUAAGAGCUGUAACACUCACUGGGAGGGUCCGCGGCUUCAUUCUUGAAGUCAGUGAGACCAAGAACCCACCAAUUCCGGACACAUAACCACUAUGCUAGACCAGAUACAGGAAAUCUUCAUAACCUCAGGAAGUUCUCCUGUGCCUCUUUGCAGUCACUUCCUCUCCGUGUCUUCCUCCCACCCCCGCCAUCUGAGGCAACCACAACUGGAAUUUCUAUCAUAUUGUGUUAAAUUACUACUUCUAGAAAUUCAUGUAAAUGAAAUCAACCAGAAUGUGAUGUUUUCAGAAUACCUGAAACUAAGCAAUGGAUAAAGAAGAAAAACGUAUUUCAUGUAAUUCUGGAGGCUUGGGAAAUCAAGGUCAAGAGGGAACAUCUGGUGAGAGCCUUCUUGCUGAUAUAUGAUCUCUGGUUGUUUUGUGAUCCCAGGAUCUACUGAGAUGUAUAGCAUAAGAAGUUAUACACAUCCUGGAUUUUGGGUGAUAAAAGUACUUCUUCCAUGAAAUUGCUGGGGGUUAAGUGAGAUAACAAAAGAAGAAAAACAGGUCCUCACUGCCCUAUAGGACAAACCAGAACACGACGGCCAGGAUUCAGCUCCUAACCAAUCAAAUAGAGGAUUCAAAAAUACCCAAUCAAGAGGAGGAUUGAAAAACAGACUCUUCUGAAUGGACAAAGGGAGAAUAUGGGAGGGAACAACAUGGGAAUAUAAGUCAGACUAGCAACGGCACCCUCUUCCGGGUCCCCUUCCACCACGUGGAAGCUUUACUUUUGGUUUGCUCAAUAAACUGCGCUGCUGCACACU